This 253-nucleotide unclassified non-coding RNA is filed under the name uncultured Gammaproteobacteria bacterium. Its description in RNAcentral is "contains 16S-23S intergenic spacer region". It matches the Rfam family "Bacterial small subunit ribosomal RNA", at positions 524 to 776 of the family's 1533-position model. The record is from RNAcentral. Lineage: Bacteria; Pseudomonadati; Pseudomonadota; Gammaproteobacteria.
UACAGAGGGUGCGAGCGUUAAUCGGAAUUACUGGGCGUAAAGGGCGCGUAGGCGGUUUGGUCAGUCGGAUGUGAAAGCCCCGGGCUUAACCUGGGAAUGCCAUUCGAUACUGCCUGACUGGAGUAUGGUAGAGGGAAGCGGAAUUCCGGGUGUAGCGGUGAAAUGCGUAGAGAUCCGGAGGAACACCAGUGGCGAAGGCGGCUUCCUGGACCAAUACUGACGCUGAGGCGCGAAAGCGUGGGGAGCAAACAGG